This 433-nucleotide unclassified non-coding RNA is filed under the name soil metagenome. RNAcentral's name for it is "partial contains 5.8S ribosomal RNA, internal transcribed spacer 2, and large subunit ribosomal RNA". The stretch from base 1 to 120 matches the Rfam family "5.8S ribosomal RNA", at positions 35 to 154 of the family's 154-position model. The record is from RNAcentral.
GAUGAAGAACGUAGCGAAAUGCGAUACGUAAUGUGAAUUGCAGAAUUCAGUGAAUCAUCGAAUCUUUGAACGCAUAUUGCGCUCUCUGGUAUUCCGGAGAGCAUGCUUGUUUGAGUAUCAGUAAACACCUCAACUCCCUUUUCUUUUUUGAAAUGGGAGCUGGACUUGAGUGAUCCCAACACUUUUCUCACUGGAAAGUGGCGGGUCACUUGAAAUGCAGGUGCAGCUGGACUUUUCUCUGAGCUAUAAGCAUAUCUAUUUAGUCUGCCUAAAAAACAGAUUAUCACCUUUGCUGCAGCUAACAUAAAGGAGAUGAGUUCUUGUGCUGACUGAUGCAGGAUUCACAGAGACAGCUUUGCGGCUGACUUUGUAAACUCGAUCUCAAAUCAAGUAAGACUACCCGCUGAACUUAAGCAUAUCAAUAAGCGGAGGA